UACGAAGGGGGCUAGCGUUGCUCGGAAUCACUGGGCGUAAAGCGUGCGCAGGCGGUUCGCCGUGUCCUGUGUGAAAGCCCCGGGCUUAACCUGGGAAUUGCAUGGGAAACUGGCGGGCUGGAGUGUGGCAGAGGGGGGUGGAAUUCCACGUGUAGCGGUGAAAUGCGUAGAGAUGUGGAGGAACACCAAUGGCGAAGGCAGCCUUCUGGGCCAACACUGACGCUCAUGCACGAAAGCGUGGGGAGCAAACAGG
RNAcentral lists this ribosomal RNA (253 nucleotides) under uncultured bacterium. Its description in RNAcentral is "partial 16S ribosomal RNA". It matches the Rfam family "Bacterial small subunit ribosomal RNA", at positions 524 to 776 of the family's 1533-position model. The record is from RNAcentral.